UACGUAGGUCCCAAGCGUUGUUCGGAUUCACUGGGCGUAAAGGGUGCGUAGGCGGUCGGGUAAGUCUGAUGUGAAAUCUCACAGCUUAACUGUGAAACUGCAUUGGAUACUAUCCGGCUAGAGGAAUGGAGGGGAGACUGGAAUACUUGGUGUAGCAGUGAAAUGCGUAGAUAUCAAGUGGAACACCAGUGGCGAAGGCGAGUCUCUGGACAUUUCCUGACGCUGAGGCACGAAAGCCAGGGGAGCAAACGGG
RNAcentral lists this ribosomal RNA (253 nucleotides) under uncultured bacterium. Its description in RNAcentral is "partial 16S ribosomal RNA". It matches the Rfam family "Bacterial small subunit ribosomal RNA", at positions 524 to 776 of the family's 1533-position model. The record is from RNAcentral.